Molecule: long non-coding RNA, 506 nt
Filed under: Capsicum annuum
Lineage: Eukaryota; Viridiplantae; Streptophyta; Magnoliopsida; Solanales; Solanaceae
Description: long non-coding RNA (CANN_LNC008399)
Source: RNAcentral
UUUCCGAAAGACCCCCGGCUCAAGUCACGAGAUAUCACACAAACACAUAGUACAGCACAGAAGCAGAUGACAUAACAUAGAUACGGCACCCAUAAGGAAUAUAAAACAGAGUAAAGCAGGAAUGCAGGAAUAUAAAGCAGAGGAAAGCACACAGAUUCGUAACAAACAUAGAACACGGAACAGACCUUCCCCUAAUCCUCUGCCGUAAUUCUCAUCUUCCAUACCUUCCUAUCUAGGGUCAUGUCCUCGGUGAGCUGUAACUGUUCCAUGUCCCGCCUAAUCACCUCACCCCAGUACUUCUUCGGUCUACCCCUACCCCGUCUAAAACCAUCCAAUGCUAGCCUCUCACACCUACGGACCGGGGCAUCCAUGCCCCUCCUCUUCACGUGUCCGAACCAUCUCAAUCGUGCUUCCCGCAUCUUACACUCCACUGAAGUCACACCAACCUUCUCCCGGAUAGUCUCAUUCCGAACUCUAUCCCCUCGGGUCAGUCCACACAUCCAGAC